AUUGAAUGCUGGCGGCAGGCUUAACACAUGCAAGUCGAGCGGGGGAAGGUAGCUUGCUACCGGACCUAGCGGCGGACGGGUGAGUAAUGCUUAGGAAUCUGCCUAUUAGUGGGGGACAACAUCUCGAAAGGGAUGCUAAUACCGCAUACGUCCUACGGGAGAAAGCAGGGGAUCUUCGGACCUUGCGCUAAUAGAUGAGCCUAAGUCGGAUUAGCUAGUUGGUGGGGUAAAGGCCUACCAAGGCGACGAUCUGUAGCGGGUCUGAGAGGAUGAUCCGCCACACUGGGACUGAGACACGGCCCAGACUCCUACGGGAGGCAGCAGUGGGGAAUAUUGGAUAAUGGGGGGAACCCUGAUCCAGCCAUGCCGCGUGUGUGAAGAAGGCCUUAUGGUCGUAAAGCACUUUAAGCGAGGAGGAGGCUACUUUAGUUAAUACCUAGAGAUAGUGGACGUUACUCGCAGAAUAAGCACCGGCUAACUCUGUGCCAGCAGCCGCCGUAA
This 501-nucleotide ribosomal RNA is filed under the name uncultured bacterium. RNAcentral describes it as "partial 16S ribosomal RNA". It matches the Rfam family "Bacterial small subunit ribosomal RNA", at positions 30 to 523 of the family's 1533-position model. The record is from RNAcentral.